GGGUGUCGAGGGACGGGGCCGCCUCCAUGCGCUUGCGCGUGGAGCACUCCGCGAUGGCCUCUGGGAGAUGUAGUCUUUCCUUGGCUUUCCUUUCCAGAUUCCAAGAAUGGCAAGACUAAAAAUUUACAUGACUUUGCUUCUGAGGAAAAGACUUGGGUCUUCUCCCAAGGAGACUCAUUCCUUAGAUGGUGCUCUGGGCCUAGAGUUCUCUAUCUAUUGCUUUCCUGUGAAACGUCAGUGUCUGGGUACUCUCACCCUCUAAAAGAGGAAAGUAACAUUAUUUAUAAGGACAGAACCACAGAUACUCUGACGAACAAAAGUCGCAGUUCAGAAACAUGAGAUCAUUUAAUGAGAGUCAGAGAGGACGUCCAUUCGGUCCUUCUUUCCCUGUUUCGACACUCUGUAUUCUUCCUCCGUGCCUCAUUGGUGUUUUUAGACAGAAAACCUGUUCUGAUGAUAUAAGGAAAGGACGUAAAGAUUUGGUAUUGUAUUCAUAGUGGACCCCAAGCUUUUUUUUCCCUCUCAUAUAAGAUGAAUUUAUUUCUUCCAUGUAUUCACGAUGUUGAGACACAUGCCAGGCACUGGACCAGACUCUAUGUAGACGGUACUGAGAGAAACAGGCAUGGGCCUUCCUUGUUCCCAGGAAACACCUAUUUAGUAAGCUUCAUCGUGAAGUCUAAAUGAAAUAAUCCCAUCACUCAGUGCUUUCUACUGGCGAUGGUUGCUCCUCCUGUGCUCUCCUCUCUUGAAGUGUAACUGACAUCAGAGACAAUAACAAGCAGAGAGCACACUCAAAAGCAGCCACUUGCUGCUCCCAACCACCACCCUCUUUCCACGUCCCUCUUCUAACGGAUGUCUUAACUUUGGCAUUACUGAUACUUGGGACCUGAUAGUUCCUUCUUGGAGCUGGGUUCUGUUCUGCGCACUGUUGACUCCUCAGAAGCAGCCCUAUCCACCCACUAGAAGCCAGUAGCUCACCACCAGCCUGGGGCACGACAACCAGAAUACCUCCAGAUAUUGUCACAGGUCCCCUCGGACUCAAAACCACCACUGACUGAGAACUAUCUGGGGGAAGGGCUGCCCGCUCUAGGAGCCCCAGCUGUGGAAAAGAGCCAUAACCUGUCUCACUCUGGUUAUGUUGACCUGCUGGUGGACGAUCAAAAUGACAGACCUCUCGGUGAGGAGACAGUGUUCCCUUCCUGUGGUCAUGUUAUUGGCUACUGAAGAAGAAAAAAAAAUCUAUCUCUGGAUGGAUCGCUUACCCUGUCACGAACAUCCUGGGGUUUGUUCUACAUGUUAAGGGCCUCUCUCCUCUCCUUGGUCUCUCUUUUUUCCACAUUCAAAGUGAGCAGUAUCUCCAGUGAGAUCACAGGCUGCAAAAUUCUGUCAGCCCUUUUAAAUAUCACACUCGGCACAACAUUUAAGAAAUGGAUGUUCAUCAAAUUCAGGGAGACCCAAAAGGAGAAGUAAGUAUUCACAGGCCACAGUGGGGGUGGGGAGGACUUCUCUAGACUUUGAAAGAGGGACUGCUUUUUUCAGGAGUUGGCUAGGCUAUACGGGUUUUCCCAUUGUGUAUUGGUAACAACCACCCCCAUCCCAGCCAAGGACAUUACUGGAUAGAGGUGGGAGGAAAUUCUGCUCCCCACCCCCACCCUCUUUUAUUGGUCACUCUGCCAGGUGUGGUGGCUCCACACCCUUAAUCCCAGCACUCAGGAGGCACAUACAGGCAGUUUCCUAUGAGUUUUGGUCUCUAUGGUGAGCUCCAGGACAGCCAGAAUUACACAGAAAGGCCCUGUCCCAGAAAACAGAAACAAAAAAACUAACAUCGUCCACUCAGAACAACUGUUAGUUGAACGUCAAACCUAUAUAAGGUCAGGUGUGUUGGUGCAAGCCUUUAAUUCCAGCACACUGGAAGACAGGAGACAGACAGACAGACAGAUCUUUGGGAGUUCAAGACCAGCCUGGUCUACACACUGAAUUAGUGAGUUCCAGGUCAACCAGGGCUGUAUUGUGAGACCUUGUCCGGUUGGGAAGGAAGAAAAAGCAGAUUAUGAGUCUAAAAGUUCACUUCCACCACCACUGGCAGAAUUCUUUAAAGUAUCCAGCUGCAAAUUCCAAGGGCCCUGGGAAUGUAAGUCACUUUCACAGCGCCUGAUAGUCUAAAGGAUCCACUGACAGGUAAAACCCGUGUGGCCCACAGUGGGGAGAUGAUGAGGAACCUGAGCAUACCCAUGAAUUGAAACUGCCUUUGGGGGGUUGGGGAUUUAGCUCAGCGGUAGAGCGCUUGCCUAGCAAGCGCAAGGCCCUGGGUUCGGUCCCCAGCUCCGAAAAAAAAGAACCAAAAAAAAAAAAAAAAAUGCCUUUGGUUUUGUUGAUCACAGUACAGAACCAAAUAGAAGGUCAGUGAAAAAAAGGCUGGACAGGUGUCCCAGCUGACCCCACAAGAGUCCCCAAAAGGCCACCUGCACAUGAGGAAAGUGACAGCUGAUACAUGUACAGAAAUCUCCAGGCUUUUCCGUUUGCAAUUGAGCAGGCUGCAAUCCACGAGCAACACACACACACACACACACACACACACACACGCCCCAAGCUCUGUAUUAGCCAGGGGGAGCCCAGAGGCAGCCAUGGCUUUGCAAUAGUUCAGAUGAAGCCAAUUUGCACUACAAACGUGGUUGGGAAAACAGGAAAGCAAGAGUUUCAUGUCUACAGAGCUGAGAGGUUCCCAAGUCUCCAGUUCCACCCUCUCAGUAAGGAAAGUCAGUCUCUCUGUUUCCCUUCCUCUAACCCUCCCCCUCUCCCUCUCCAUUCGAAAACUGCGAAAGUCCGGCAGCUCUACCACAAUCGAGGGAGGAUGAGGACAGUCUGUCUCUGAAGAGGAAAGCCAAGCUCUCUACUCAUAGGGUCCUUCCUGCCCCUCCAAUCGCUAGUUCAGUUCAGCAGAUGGAAAUUUCCAAGUGAUGUACGCAUACAUGGAGGCUGAUUAGCAUAUCAUUCUGCAUGCAGACAGGUGACACGGAGAAAGGAGGCAAGGUCGAGUUCAGUUACAAGUCCAUCGUCAUUGUUAGGGACACCGGGGGUUGUUGGUGUUCUAAAUCUCCAAAGUGCUUACCGUGCAGGCACAGCUUUCAGCAUUAAUCUUUAAGGCUUUCAGAUAAUCAAGGUUUGGACAAGGGAGCGUGAGUUCCGAGGUCUUAGCAAUCAACUGUAUUAACAGUUACCCAUUUUUCCACCCUCACCCGGCUCCCACAUGCAGACAGCAGCCUCUUCCCUUCCUCUUCCUCCAGGGCUCAGAAACGUGAAGAGCCACAGAAAAUCUUGGCUCUGCCCAGUGAGUCAGCCUUGUCUAACUUUGUGCGUAAGCUCUCAAGUCAGCGGCAGCUCGGGAGCAGCGGGGCUGUGUGCAGUCGAGAUAAAUUUGGGUCUAAAGGGAUGACGUAAUGCUAAACCCGAGAGGUGGCUGCCGUCUCCCAGGGCUCCAGUCGCCAGGGCUGCCGGCUGACUUCCCAACCACAUGGAAACGCACCAAGCGACCCAGGUGCCCAGGCUGGGGAGACAGGGAGGGGGUAGCGGCAGAGGAGGCGGUGGGUAAUUCCAGAUCGCUGAAUCUGGAAGUUUCUUGUGUUUAACUCCAGUUUUUCUAGUGAGAUCAGACCACUGGCAAAGGCUCAAACAGCUGCACUUGACUUCCAUCCUGACCCAUCUCUUGCUUAGAAAGGAGCUUUUAAAAAAAAAUAUUUUUUUAAUUUACAUUCCAGUCCCCCCUCCUGCCCACCCCUCAGCUCCUCCUCCCAUUCCUCCUUCCCCUUGCCUCUGAGGGCUUUCUACAUUAUAUUAAAUGGCCCUUAUUACUGAUUAUUUCGGUGAUAAUACUGGUGAACUAAACUCUCCUUCCUCCUUCUGUUUUUUGUUUUGGGGGUUUUGUUUUGUUUUUUUGUUUGGCUGGUUUUUUGGUUUUGUGUGUGUGUGUGUGUGUGUGUGUGUGUGUGUGUGUGUGUGUGUGUGUGUGUUUGUGUGUGUUUUGCAUAUACUUGGAUCCAGGAAGUCUGCAUUGCAGGAUUCAGUUAAUGUGCGCCUAAGUGGCUUGCUCACCCUGGAGAACACCCCUCGAACCCAGACUUGGUGGGGGGCACCAUGGGGCUGGUGGGGUGCUAAGAACUCGAAAGGGUUUUGCUAGAGUGGCUUCAUCCAGUGAAUGUUUCCCCAAAAUGUUUCAUAGUUUGUGUUGUGGACGUUUCUCAGCCCAAGUGCCCAUCUUCUUCAGUUCAGAACAUCCAGGCUCGGAGGAAUAUGUCCACGUACCAAAAGCCACACACACAGCUGGCACACUGGUGGGGAAAGGAUUGAAACCUAGGCCUAGAGAUGUAUGCUACCUUCUUGUCUCUAGAAUUUCUUUUUCUGAAUGACUUAUGUUUAAAAGAAAGGAAAAUGGAUGGACACACACACACACACACACACACACACACACACUUACACAUGCACACUCACUCUAAAGCCGAGUUAAGUUUUCUGAUCUUUUAGACCAGUGGGGCCCCAACCUCAAUGCUUUAAAUGUUACGAUUAAGUUAAAUUCUUAAAGGGUCCCAAGGCAUCCCAAAUCUGCUUUUGCUGUUCAAGGUUCAUUUUUUUCCCCACAGAAAGGUUACUCCACCAGCCGCUUCUCUGGCGCUGAUGACCAUAAGCCUCAGACCCUCGCUAAUAAAAUAGCUCCAAUCCCCAGGUCUCAUGCAGCCCCCACACAGCCGCCUUCCUUGGAAUGUCUCCUGAGGCCUUUUCUCAACCUCCGUAGUCAACGCUGGUGCCACAGAACCCUCCCUCCCCCGUAGUUUGUUUUUGCAGUCAUUGAUGCUGGAAGAUCUCAUGAUGUCAACCACGCUUGUGCAUAAGACCUGCUCAACGAGCUCUACUCAGGACAAGAGGAGGUCAGCCAGCCCCUGUGCUGUCUGACAGGAACCAUCUGAGCCACACACCAUCACUGCAACAACUGGGAGGGACCGCAAGCCCAUCUCGGAAACCCACACUGCCUUUGUCUUUUGCCUUCUCUUCGGAAGCCCUUGGCGCCGAGUACCAGCCAGCCCAGUUGCCCUACAAGCUGGGGCGUCCCAGAAAGUCCUGGAGCCUCACAGGGUGUGGAUCCACAGCCUCCGCAGCCGGCCUGUAGUGCCACAGGUGCCCUACUGGUCGGGCGAGUUUCUCAGAGGGUGCUGGCAAGGUGGCUCGAGCAAGUAAGCAAAACUACCCCAGACCAUCAGCCUCCAGGGAAUGGCUUUUGUGUCAAUGCUGGGGAAACCCUGGAAGCUUCUGGUGGCUUCUCUCCACCCUAGGAUGAAUGGGGAGAAAAGGAAGUCCCUCUAGGGAGAUAUCUUCCUGGAGCCCUCAGCCUGUAACUCAAACACUCCAGACUCCAUUUCUUGCCUCUUGUUAACUUGGAGCUCCCUGAGGCUUCUCUCCCAACCCCCUAAGGAAGAACAGUGGGUUUAAGUUCCACGGGGCCCUAUUGCUGUUAGCAUGUGGCCUUGGGAAAGUGAGCCAGCCUUGCUAAGCUGAAGCUCUGGGUAGCUAUAAAAAUGGAGGUAAUUACAGCACCUGCCCAUGGGAUGUUUGUGAGGACUUAAUGCAGAGCGCUUAGCAUUGUGCAGCACAUAGUAAAUGCUCAGUAAAAGGGGGGGGGGUAUUAGCACCCCCCCAGGAGAACAGGAAGGAGCCCGAACUUGUCUCUUGGGAGGGAGCUGGGUAUCAGACUCCCAGGAGACAGCCUGGGAGAACUGUCCACUGGUUUCUAUUUGGCUAACACUUGAACCAGAACAUGCACCUGAACUGGAGAGCUUCGCUCUCAGGGUACCAAGCAGAGUUUGGCUCCUGGCCGUUUUAGAUAUUUCUUGUUGCAUGAAGCUAAAUUCCAUGAUUGGUUAAAAAAAAAAAGUAUGAGGGAGAGUUUCGUGCGAGGCAGUCAGAGUUUAAGAGACUAAGAGACAUGGCUGGGACCGACAGGCUGCUGUAGGAGGUAACUGGGGGGCCAUUCUGUAGCUCUGGUCCCUCAGAGAUAAAAACAAGGAGUCCAUCAGUUCCCGGGCUAGAAGUUACACAGCCCGGGCCUGCCCUCUACUCUAAUACAAUAGAUUGCCUAUUGGAGCUCCAAACCUUCUUCACUUUUGUGUCCUUGUAGCAACAAUAAAUAUACAAAGUAAAACAUUUCAGCUAACUAGAUAGGCCAAAUCUCUCCUUUCUGAUUUAAGCUUGAAUUCUCCUAAUCACGUCCUCCCUCAGGACAGCAUGGUUAUCGUUCUAAUUUUCUGUGCUUCAGUUCCUCAGGGGACAUCGGAGCAGGGUGGCCAAGGGCAUGCUAUGUGGGCAGUGGGUGGGUAGUGUGACUUGUAAAAAGGACGCUCAAGUGCAGAAGGCCCGCCAGAUCUGUUGAAGUUAGCCGGGGUUGAACAAAAAACACAAAGCAUUUUAAAUGUUCGGUUGUGGGCUAGGGUAGGGGAGAGUACAUAGGAAACCCAGGCACGCAUGCACACAUACACACACAUACACACACACUCACCCACUCACAAACAUACACACAUGCACCCACACACACACACAUACACACAUGCACCCACACACACACAUACACACAAACACACACACUCACACAUACACACAUACACACAAACACACACACAUACACACAUGCACCCACACACACACACACAAACACACAAAUACACACAAACACACACAUACACACAUGCACCCACACACACAUACACACAUACACACACAUGCACACAUGCCCCCACACACACUCACACAUACACACACACAUACACACAAACACACACAUACACACAUGCACCCACACACACACACACAUUCACACACAUACACAUACACACAAACACACAUACACACAUGCACCCACACACACACAUACACACAUACACACACAUGCACACAUGCACCCACACACACUGACACAUACACACACAUACACACAAACACACACACAUACACACAUGCACCCACACACACACACAUUCACACACAUACACAUACACACAAACACACAUACACAUACACACACACGCACACACAUACACACAUGCACCUACACACACUCACACAUUCACACACAAACACACACACACAUACUCACACAAAGGGGUUUCUCUGUAUAGUCCUGGAACAUACUCUGUAGAUCAGGCUAGCCUAGAAUUCAGAGCUCAGCCUGCCUCUGCCUCCCCAGUGCUGGAAUUAAAGGUGUGCACCACAGUGUCUGGCCGGGACUCCUCUUGGAGCUUCAGGAUGAGUUUUUAUUCUCUCCAUAAAGGGGGAAUAGAGCCAAAGACACAAAUCUCAAGUCAGACCCUGCACCCCACUGUUGGUCAGGACUCAGUUCGGGACAACUGAAUUCCUCAGGAGAGAUGUGGCUCAGCUCAGUUGGUGGGCACUUGUCUACCAUGCAUGACUGCUGUGUUUGAUUCCCCAGCACCCCAUAACCGGAUACGGGGUACAUGCCUAUAAUCCCAGCACAAGGUGAAUCACAAGUCCAAUGUCAUCUUCAGCCACAGAGUUUCAUGGCUAGCCUGGACUACAUAAGACCCUUUUCCUAAAGGGUAACUAAAAUCUUUAACCCUGACAGUGAAAGUGAGUACACACUCCAUGAAGGUAACAACUGCUAGAACCUAGCACUGGGCCUACCUUACGGUAAAGGUAAACUCCAAAAAUAACAGUUUAACAAACAAAUGGCUAACGUCAGUACUGAUUUAGGGAGAAACUCCUCAUCCACGAUGUAACUCUGACUUACUAAACUUUUGUUGCCACAAAAGCCUUCGAGAGGCAUUUCUCUGGUCUAAAGUAUUUUGAAAGGAUCCUGUUUAUGUGUUUCCUGGAGGCUUCUUGCUUAAAGCAAGAGUCACCUGUACUUUCAAAAUGUUUCACAAGUGAGGGGCCCAGCCCGGCAUCCUGCCCAGAUGAGGAAGCAGAAAUGGAGCCUCCAGCCCAGGAUCACAAUGGCAGGUGCCCAUCGGUCUGACCCAGAGAAACAAAGUCAGCCUUUGAAGGCUUUAAGACCUCUGACCAUGCCGCCCAGAGACGAUGGGGUCAGAGACAGUGGCUGCUGUAAGUUUAGAAAACACCCAGAGAGUAGGCCCCCUUCUGCUCCCCAUCCUAGUCUUUCCUUCCUCUCUCUGUCUCCCUCCCUCUCUUCUCUUCUCUCCCUUCCCCAGACUGAGUCUAGAACCCCACUCAAUGUCCUUGCUUAGGUUGCCAAUGGCCGACGGCGUCGACUGCUCCUGUCUCCCUCCCCGCCACCCCUCAUGUGUGAGAGAAAAUAUUUUUCUUAGUACAGCAAAGUCAAAUUAGCUUCAUUUUGAAAGAGUACUGAGAAUGUUGCAAUGGCCUCGGCAAAAACCGGACACGCCCUGGGCUCAGUAAACCAGGCCUGAGAACUGCUGAGUUUAUGAGCACCUGACCUGCACAAGAGCUGUUUGGGGCUCUAUCUGUGACCCAGUCUCCUGUCACAUAGAUGAGAACACAGAAAGUUCUGCCUCCGCUCUGUCACUGUGGACGAGUCACUGUCGCUCUCUGGGCCUCUACCUCAGUGCUCUGUGGUGAAGAUGCUCUCCCUGUGGCUGCUGGGGGCAGCCUGUGGUCACAGAGCUGCUUUACCACCUGCCUCCUUUAAACCCAAACCCGAAAGUGGAGGGCAAGAAGGAAUGGGGUUCCUCCCGUGGGCUGGAAACCUCUUGCUUCGUUCUGCGGAAUGGCUCAUUUCUUACUCAGUUGUCUGUCUUUGCUUCUUUCCUCCCUUCCCUUCCUUGAAGAAAAAGAAACCAAAAAAGCCACAAAACCACAACUCACCUCCCCAAAACGGGUCACUUGGAAACCAGGGCUGUGUGGGGUUAGGUGUGCCAGGCCUGACAUGCUGGUGGUAUCUAAGCGAAGACCAAGCCAGGGCGAGCAUGUGUUUCUCCUCCAGAAACCCGGUUUAAAUCAAUAUUUAUCCAACUGUAUUUAUAGAAAGUGGUGGUAGGAAUAGGGGGUGGGGCGGGUAGGCAGGGGGAUCUAAAACUGUACAAGCCACAAUGACUGAUGUAAAUCUUAAUCUUGGUGGCCAAUUCCCUUCUGCAGGACCCAGCUCUUUUUUUUUUUUUUUUUUUUUUUUUUUUGGCAAAAGACUCAGCAUUUGAUGAACCUGCUGUUGGCCUCAGUACCAUAGCAACAGCCCUAAGUCCUCUAAUAUGCCCACAGGACAGACUAGGGAUAAGGCAACAGGAGGGGGGCGGGUAGUUAGUGUUUCCUGGGAGCCCUGAACUUGAGUUAAGGCCAGGAUGGUUGAAUAACUAGGAAUGGGGGGUGGGGGUGGGGAGAACCAACCCUCUCUGGUUGGCUACUCUGACUUAAGUCCCACUUUGCCACACACGGUUGUACAGGAAGACUGGAAAUUCAACAAGGUGUUCCAAAUACCAGCUCUGUUUCACGUUGCUGGGUGACCUCGAGCAAGUCAUUUCAAACCCGCCUGGACUUCAUUCCUUGGCUAUAAAACGAGUACACGUGUAUAAGGUGAAGCCAUAUGGGCUCUGGAGCUGGAGGCCCAGGUGGCAAACAGCUCUCCCACCUACUAGCCACAUGAUCAUUGGGGAAGUUACCCAGCAUCCCUGCGCCUCAGUUCCUCAACCCCUACUGCCAAACAGAGGUCAUAAAACUGCACGUGCUACGGGGUGGCUCUGGACUGGGGGAAGAUAACUCCUGGCUGGUCCUCACGCUAAACCCUGUCAGGAUUCAGUAAGUGGUGGCCAGCGAUGGUAUUAUGUAAAUAUGGUUGGAAGUCGCAGCCCUGAUAUGCUGGCACCUUCUAUUUCCCGGCUUCCCCUCUAGACGUUUGCUUACCCAUCUCCAAAUGAAGACCCAUUCCUGGGUGGGGAGCAGUGGGAGUGUUGCCGUUAGCGGAUAGCGGAUAGCUGGAUAUGGGAUAGCGUGUGAGUACCUGCUGCUUCUUGAUGGAGCCUCCUUCCCUGAACCUCCAUAGUGACAACUCAAUUCAACCUCUUUAAUUUCCUGAAUUCCCGCCUUCAGCCCCUGGGCGCCCUUCACAGGGUACCCUGUACCUGGAAACUCUGGAGUCCCGAAAGCCAUAUUCUCCCCUACUCCCGGCAUCUACCACGUCUUAAACCUGCACCGAAUCCAAAAACUCAGUUUAAAACGUGGACAAAAUGGGGGCCUGACUUAGCAAUGAUCUUUACACAUCUCUUUUAAAAAUGACCCCCCUACCUCUCCACCCCACUGGGAUUCACCCCACAGAGUUUGCAGGGGUGAAACGGCGAUCACAGAAUAGACGACCGGACCCCGGUGCUGAUUAUGGAUCAGAGGGUUCAUCCGAAGAUGCCUCCCGUGUAGAGCUGUAACCUGUUAGAACAUCAAUGCCUUCUGUUUCAGCACAGGUCAUUCCAGUGCCUACUUCCUAAGCAAGGACUUUUCAUUCUUCAGAUCACAGCUGUUGGCAGUAGACUCAGCUGGUGGUGGUGGGGGAGACAGGGCAGAGACAGGUAAAUCCCAGGAGUUCACUGGCCAAUGAUUCUAGCCAAUGACUAAGCUCCAGGUUCAUUAAGAGACGAUCUCAAAAGAUACCUCUGGCCUCCACGGGGCACACAUGAGAGAAGCGUGCACACACACACCUAACACACCACUGAAUGUCUGUAUAUACCACACACACACACACACACACACACACACACACACACACAGACACACACAAGAUGUUGUUAUUUUCCCUGCAAAGACAAAGCUAACACCUGGGAAACAAGUAGAAGCUUGUGAGAGCUCAGGGAAUAGCUUUUUAAACAAUUAUGUAUACAUGUGACUCUCUCUCUCUCUCUCUCUCUCUCUCUCUCUCUGCGUUUUGUGUGUGUGUGUGUGUGUGUGUGUGUGUGUGUGUGUGCAUGUACCAAGUGCAUAGAGGUGCCAAAGAAGGUAUUGCAUCUCCAGGGGCCAGAGGCAAGGCAGUUGUGACCUGACCAUUGUGUGUGCCAGAGACAGGACUCGGCUGCUCUGUAAAAGCACCACAACCUGUAACUGCCAAGCCAUCUCUCCAGCCCCAUAAGUCACCAUUCCCUGAGCACGCGCUGUGCUUCAGGGGCUUGAAAUGUUUAAAACCGGUGAUUCAGUCGCUCUGUGAUGAUGUAAGGGAGGUCAUUAUCAUUAUGUCCACACAAUGCAGCCUCAGAGAGGCUGAGUAACUUGUGUCCAAACAACAGUAGGAAUCUGGACCUCUGAUCCUUCUGACCGCCACGCAUCGCGCCCUCUCAACUCAUCUGACUCGAAAUUAGCACCCAGUGAGCUGAAACAGCCAAUCGGCUUCAAGGAGGAGGCAGGGAUCAGCCUCCUUCGUGAAGGAAGGGUAGGAGACAGAAACCCUGGGGAGUAGGAGAAUGAGGGCGUCCUCCACUGAGUCAAGCACAGGGUCAUGACUGUGAAGCCUGCUAGCUGGUGGACCUGCUGGACUGGAGUUGAGGUUUCAUGGCCAGGCAGAGGAGAUUAAGUCAGGAAGGCAGGGUGGGGCCAAAGAACAACCACACCGAAGUAACUUCCACCACCAGCUUCCUACAACAGGAAGAAGCUGCUUCUUUGGGGCCUACCUGUUCCCCUAGGAACACACCCUACCUCAAACCCAGGCAGUCUACUCCAGAAAGUAAACUGUGGCUUCUAUUCCCACCUAAUUACUUUCCCUGUCUGAUGCUACCUCCAAAGACCUGCCCCAAACACUGGAAGCCAUCUUGCCCCUCCAGGUCUAGGCUACCACCACUUAUGGGGGCGGUGGUGGGGUGGGGUGGGCUUACUUGUUUUUGGGACUUAUAUGUGCAUGUUUCCCGUACAUCUGUGGAAAGGCCCAUGGAGACCAGAAGUGUUAGGAUGAGUUACAGGUGGCUGUGAGAUGCCCAACAUGGGCAUCGAGAUCUCCAAGGGCAGUGUGCCCUCUUAACUACAGAGACACUUGAUGCCACAGGUCAUCUCUGAGUCUGUGAUAACAGGGCCACUGCCUACAUGUUAAAUAUUUCCGGAAGCUUUUGAGAUUCAUAGAUUCAUACCAGGUGACAUUUUAAGAGUCUGUACCUAUAUUCCUUCCCUUGCAUGCAGUUGCAGGGUCAACACUGAGUAACUAUUUGAACUCCUCUCUCAAGAAACAUCACCCCAUCUCAUGGAAAGAAUUCAUCACUGCGGCCAAAACUUGGUGAACACUCCCAGUACGGAAACCUCAAAGAGGCAAUAAAAAGAAGUUCUGGCUACAGUGGAAAAUAAGCCAAGCUCCCGCCAAGUUGAGUACUUUGCAAACAGUGAAAACCAAACGUUGAACGCGUGAUCAGACGCUACCGGCGCAUCUCGAGAACAGCUCAGCGAACCCGAAAUGGAGUCGAAAGGGCAGGCAUUUGUCUGAGAGAAGAGAGCCCCUUUAAGAAAAGACUGGACCAGCUGGCUGCACUACAGCGCCUAGAGAUUUCCUGGCUCCGCCCCCCAGCCUCCGGCCUCAGCAACGCGUGACGUCAGGAGAGGCGGAUGCUGCCGAUUGGCUGGACGAUACAGCUAGGUCAAGUCCAGUCGGAGGAAAGAAGUUUGUCUCCAUGUGGAAACCAUGUGUCUAGUACUGGGAGGGGGAGGAGGAGGAGGCGGAGAAACUGAGAUCAAGUGAUUACAGGGGAACUCGCUGAAAUGAAGGCGGGGAGGUUGUGCACCUGAAUCAGCCAGCCAUACCCUUUGCAGUAGUGACCUAAAAAAAAAAAUAAAAAUAAAAAAGACUCACACAACAAAAA
Molecule: non-coding RNA, 12785 nt
Organism: Rattus norvegicus (Norway rat)
Lineage: Eukaryota; Metazoa; Chordata; Mammalia; Rodentia; Muridae
Source: RefSeq, a predicted model, not a curated record